This is a long non-coding RNA of Syngnathus typhle (broad-nosed pipefish), 6011 nucleotides long. RefSeq lists it as uncharacterized. The transcript is spliced from 3 exons. The record is from RefSeq and is a predicted model, not a curated record. Lineage: Eukaryota; Metazoa; Chordata; Actinopteri; Syngnathiformes; Syngnathidae.
AUACGACACUGUUAUUAUGAAUAACAGUCUCCAUCACUUCAGUGCCUGCAGGUCAGAUUAAUGAAAGAUGUUUAUUUUAUGAGAUCACAUCAAACGGCAAACAUUCUGACCAAAUAUAUCAUCUUGAAGAAUCGGUGAAAGCAUACAUCCAAAUAAAGUAAUCAAAACAGCAACACGGUGAGGGGUAUCUGAAAAUCAGAGCAGAGUUUUAACUCACAAACACCUGGUAACAGAGGUGAGGAAACGGGAAACACUUCCCGUAAGCCUUAAGAACUUUACAGGUUAAGAUUAGUCGCAAAUAGGUGGUGCAUCAAUGUCCUUGAGCAUCCUGCAUUGUUUGAAAAUGAGAAUGGUCGCUAGUUUCAAUCCGUGCUAUGUGUAUAAAUCAUAUUCAAAAUGCCUCCCCUUCAUUUUCAGUGGGAACAGUGUGGUUGGUCUCCCUUUUUUGCUACUGCGUCAUAGUCUGGAGUAAAAUUUGUUGUGGCAAUUCUUAGGAGAGAUCCGAGGUGUUGGUCCGUUUACCUCGAUCUGUGACGGGUUGAUGUUGACGUUCAUGUGGCUGAACGUCACGUCGCGUACGUCGAGCCAAAUUGGCCACUCUUUUUUAACAUUCGGCACUCACUUCUUUUCUUCGGGCCACUCAUUUUAAUGGAAGGAUUCCAGGGGAAGGUUUGUGGGUGGCUUUAGCGCAAAACUGCAUCUGAAAAUUCAGCUCUAAAUUCGGGACUGCAACGAAUAGAGCGAGAGCGCGCUCAUGCCCGUACUACUGAGUACGUAUACGCACUUGAGUGUGCACCGAGCUUUCUGACACGGCUUCCGGUAGUAAAUGCGCAGGCGAGCGCUUCGCCAUCUACUGGGGAAACGCAGUCAUUGCAGGAAAAAUGACCCAAAAACAAAGUUUAAUAAUACAAUUUGUUCAGGGUUGGCGGGCCGGAUUAAACGGUCCCGUGGGCCGGAUGUGGCCCGCGGGCCGUAGUUUGCCCACCCCUGGUCUAGUUCAUCUGAUCCCGGCCUACAGGCAGAAACUAAAAACUUCUAAGCCUGUGGUGAGGACUGUGAGGAAGUGGACAGUGGAGUCAAGGCAGGGUCCAAGCCUGCUUUGACUGCACCGAUUGGGGAGCUUUCGAAGCUGCAGCUUCAGACUUGCAUGAACUCACUGACACUGUCACAUCAUACAUCAGUUUUUGUGAGGAUCUGUGUGUGCAGAUUAAGACCUUCUGCACGUACAACAACGACAAACCUUGGUUUACACCGAACCUCAGGAGGCUGUGCAAAGUCAAGGAGGAGGCCUACAGGAGCGGCGACCGCGACCUGUUCAGGCAGACCAGAAACACACUGAACCGAGAGGUCAGGAAAGCCAGGAGGUGUUACGGGGAGACCAUGAAGAGACACAUCUCUGCCAAUCCUGAUCCCUCAACAGUGUGGAAGGGUCUGCAGAGCAUCACAGGCUACAAGAAACGAACCGUCCUGUGGAGAGCCUGUCAUGCCUCGUUCCCAGUUUUUGUUAUGUGUCAUCGUUUCUGUGUCUGUGUGCUCGCCCCUCCCUUCCUGUGUGCCCUUGUUUAGAGUGAUCACACGCACCUGCCUCUCGUUACCUGUGUUGUAUUUAAGUUCUGUUUGAGUGUCACUUGCUGUCGGAGCAUUGUGUGUCUGUGUGUGCGUGUGUAACACGUGGACCAUGCAUGUCUCACGGUCACGGUUGGUUUUGUUCCCGUCUUUUGUUUCGCAAUUUAGUCGGUUAGUCUUGUUAGUUUGUUGGUUAGUCACGUCAGUUUGCCUAGUCUUUUUGAGUUUGUUGCAAUAAACCCUGGUCCAAGCUGCACUUGGUCGCCCUGCUCCAUUUCUCCACUCCGAAGCCGUGACAGAAUGCUCCGACCAUCACAGCGACCAGCGCUUGGACCUUCCAGGAUCAGCUCCCGUCCGCGACCUGCAAUCCACGGCCGUCGUCCGAGCAGGUUCCAGCACCAUGGGCUUCGCGGCCGCCAUCAGAGUUCCUCCCGGUGCGACCGGCUCCGCUGUUGCCAUCGGACUUCGCCCAUCGGCGACACCAGACUCGACGGCUGCCAUCGGACUUUGCUCCAGCGACGCUGGACCCACGGCCGCCGUUGGUCUUUGUGCCAGCAGCGCCAGAACCUGCGAUCAUCACCCGACAUCUAGGAAGGCAACAUGCUUGACUCGUGCCGCUGCGCACAACUCCGCCUCCCCGAAUCCCGCCGAUUGCGGCAUGGACUCCCCGAAUGCCGCCGAUUGCGGAUCUGUUUCCCCGAGUUGCCGCCGAUUGCGGAUCUGUUUUCCCGAGUGUCCGCCGAUUGCGGUUUUGUUUCCCCGGGUGUCCGCCGAUUGCAGUUUUGUUUCCCCGGGUGUCCGCCCGAUUGCGGCUCUGUUUCCCCGGGUGUCCGCCGAUUGCGGCUCUGUUUCCCCGGGUGUCCGCCGAUUGCGGCUCUGUUUCCCCGGGUGUCCGCCGAUUGCGGUUUUGUUUCCCCGGGUGUCCGCCGAUUACGGCUCUGUUUCCCCGGGUGUCCGCCGAUUGCGGCUCUGUUUCCCCGGGUGUCCGCCGAUUGCGGCUCCGUGUGCCCUAGUCGCCGCCCGAGUGCGGCUCUCUGCCCCUAGUCGCCGCCGCCCGAGUGCGGCUCUCUGCCCCUAGCCGCCGCCCGAGUGCGGCUCUCUGCCCCUAGCCGCCGCCCGAGUGCGGCUCUCUGCCCCUAGCCGCCGCCCCAGUGCGGCUCUCUGCCCCUAGCCGCCGCCCCAGUGCGGCUCUCUGCCCCUAGCCGCCGCCCGAGUGCGGCUCUCUGCCCCUAGUCGCCGCCCGAGUGCGGAUCUGUUUGCCCCUAGUUGCCGCCCCAGUGCGGCUCUCUGCCCUUAGUCGCCGCCCCAGUGCGGCUCUCUGCCCCUAGUCGCCGCCCGAGUGCGGCUCUCUGCCCCUAGUCGCCGCCCCCCGAGUGCGGCUCUCUGCCCCUAGUCGCCGCCCCCCGAGUGCGGCUCUCUGCCCCUAGUCGCCGCCGCCCGAGUGCGGUUCUCUGCCCCUAGUCGCCGCCGCCCGAGUGCGGCUCUCUGCCCCUAGUCGCCGCCCCUCGAGUGCGGCUCUCUGCCCCUAGUCGCCGCCCCCCGAGUGCGGCUCUCUGCCCCUAGUCGCCGCCCGAGUGCGGCUCUCUGCCCCUAGUCGUCGCCCGAGUGCGGCUCUCUGCCCCCCCGCCCCCCCGCGUGCCGUCGUGAGGGAUUGGAUUUUUGGGACGUCGGGAGCCGUCCCUUGUGGGGGGGGUUCUGUCAUGCCUCGUUCCCAGUUUUGGUUAUGUGUCAUCGUUUCUGUGUCUGUGUGCUCGCCCCUCCCUUCCUGUGUGCCCUUGUUUAGAGUGAUCACACGCACCUGCCUCUCGUUACCUGUGUUGUAUUUAAGUUCUGUUUGAGUGUCACUCGCUGUCGGAGCAUUGUGUGUCUGUGUGUGCGUGUGUAACACGUGGACCAUGCAUGUCUCACGGUCACGGUUGGUUUUGUUCCUGUCUUUUGUUUCGCAAUUUAGUCGGUUAGUCUUGUUAGUUUGUUGGUUAGUCACGUCAGUUUGCCUAGUCUUUUUGAGUUUGUUGCAAUAAACCCUGGUCCAAGCUGCACUUGGUCGCCCUGCUCCAUUUCUCCACUCCGAAGCCGUGACAGAGCCCAAGGCUUGCUAACUAGCUAAACAAGUUCUACUGCUGGUUUGAUCGGAUCUCCCACACAACGGGACUUCCUGCAGCACAAUCUAUAUACCGUUUUUUUCCGUGUGUAGUGCGCAAAAUUUAACUAAUUUAUUGUCCUAAAAUCUGGGGUGCGCAUUAUACAUGGGUACAAAAAAAUUAAAAAAAAUUUUUUUUUAAUUUUUUUUUUUUUUUUAAAGAAAGUCAUGGUACAACAAAACCAACAACAGGACUGACCGACAAAGUCGUGGAACAAAAAGACAGGGUGACAUUACCAAAGACAGGAACAGAACCCAAACAGACAUCAUGACAGUAACACAUGCAAUGAUCCAACGGUGAGCGAGGGGCAGACAGGACUUAAAUCCAAAACACGUUACAUCGAUUGAGGCGACACAGGAAGAGAGGGGCGACGCGAACAGAAACUAUGGCAACCUAGACACAUAGCAAAACUGGGGACGAGACAUGACAAAUCUCCCUCGAAAUAAAACUUGAAAUCACCUUUCUUCUUGUUUGUUGUCAAUCGCGCAUCGCAUUCAGCCAUCCUGCCCAACACACUUACCGUUGUUUUCCGUGUAUAGUGCGCAAAAUCUAACGAAUUUAUUGUCCUAAAAUCUGGGGUGCGCAUUAUACAUGGGUACAAAUUUUUUUUAAUUUUUAAAAGGGGCGACGCGAACAGAAACUAUGGCAACCUAGACACAUAGCAAAACUGGGGACGAGACGUGACAAAUGUCCCUCGAAAUGAAACUUGAAAUCACCAAGUUUUGGUUUCCAAGGGUGUUUUUAUUCCUCUUCAACGUCUCUCCCAUACAGAGCCGCCUUUUUCACGUCCGCACGCCUCGGUGGUGCGUUUAUGGGCAGUCGGAGAAAUCAACGCCACCAAAAAAAAUUACAUCCAGCCUAGUUAAGACCAUACCAAAGACUAUAAAAAUGGGACCCAUUGCCUCCCUGCGUGUGUGACAAUCAUUGGGACUUAAAAAAAAAAAAAAAAAAUCAUUAAAAAAAAUUCAUAAAAAUUGGGUGCGUAUUAUACAUGGGUACAGGCUUUUUUCCAGCAUCAGCAUGCCAUUUUUAGGGUGCGGUGCGUAUUAUACAUGGGGGCGCACUAUACACGGAAAAAAACGGUACUCACCUCUCCCCACAGCUGCUUUGUCCACACCUCUAUCAUCGCUGUUACCCACUCUCUCUCUUGCAGAGGCCGCGCCCGCACUCCAGGUCCGCGAGGAGGAAGUGCGCCAGAUGUUUCAAAGACAAAAGACCAGGAAGGCACCGGGCCAAGACGGCGUGUCACCUUCCUGCUUGAAAGUCUGCGCUGAGCAGCUGGCGCCCACCUUUGCACGGAUCUUCAACCGUUCUCUGGAGCUGUGUGAGGUGCCCUCGUGCUUCAAGAGCUCCACCAUCGUUCCAGUGGCCAAGAAGCCCGCCAUCACAGUUUGCCUACCGGGCAAACAGGUCAGUGGAUGAUGCGGUCAACAUGGGACUGCACUACAUCCUGCACCACCUGGACAACCCAGGAACGUACGCCAGGAUCCUGUUCGUGGACUUCAGCUCGGGGUUCAACACCAUCGCUCCUGACAUCCUCCAACAGAAGCUCAUCCAGCUUGCGGUGCCUGCCUCCACCUGUCAGUGGAUCACCAGCUUCCUAACCAACAGGAGACAGCGUGUGAGGCUGGGGGGCAUCACAUCUGACACCCGGACCACCAAUACUGGAGCCCCUCAGGGGUGACUUUCCUGUGAAGCUCCUGAAGUAUGCAGACGAUACCACUCUCAUCGGACUGAUCCAGGAUGGUGAUGAGACUGCGUACAGACAGGAGGUGGAGCGACUGGUCCACUGGUGCAGCCAAAACCACCUGGAGCUGAACCUGCUCAAGACCGUGGAGAUGACAGUGGAUUUCAGGCGAGUCCCUUCACCACUUUUACCCCUCACUAUCCGCAGUAAUACUAUUCUCUCCACAGACACCUUCAAGUUCCUGGGAACCACAAUCUCUCGGGACCUGAAAUGGACCGGCCACAUAGACUCUGUCCGGAAGAAGGCCCAGCAGAGGCUGUACUUCCUGAGACACAGACUUGGUAAACUAACAUAACUCUCUAACAAAACCAACAACAGGACUGACCGACAAAGACGUGGAACAAAAAGACAGGGUGACGUUACCAAAGACAGGAACAGAAACCUGUGUUAUUGGCAAAUAUUGUUUGUUUUUUAAUCUCCAUCGCGGACUGGACGUCAUACGGAGGCAGUAUAGAUCCGAUGCGAAUAGUCCUCUUCUUGACUGACAAUAAAUGUGAUAGUUUAAUACAAUCAGCAAAUAACAAAAUGCGUAUUACAGGUAAUAUUUUACUUCACAA